This 427-nucleotide long non-coding RNA is filed under the name Homo sapiens (human). RNAcentral's name for it is "HSALNT0024566". Lineage: Eukaryota; Metazoa; Chordata; Mammalia; Primates; Hominidae. The record is from RNAcentral.
AAGUGAACCACAAUAAAGCAAAGCCGACGGAGACAAGAGGGCAAGGAAUUGAGCCUGCUGGAAAAACUUGUUCAAUUUCAUCCACUGAUCCAGUGGGCAGAGUCCGGGGCACUUUUGGUAAAGAGGUCCUGCCCUGAGCUCCUCUGUGGCAUUGCCCUGCACUGAACAGCUGUUGUUUUAGGACAGGCUGCAUUUCUGAAUAUAUCACAACAGACUUAUCCAUUUUUAUGAUUUACCGCCUCCAAAUCAUUCUCCACACUGCUGCUAGAGAGAUCUUUGUAAAAUGCAGAUUUGAUCAGAACACUUCCCUGUUUAAAAUGUGCUAGUGUCUUCUCUUUGCCAUCAGGAAGGAAAAAAAUCCGAAGUUGUUUGCAUGGUAUAAAAACUCCUUGUGAUCUGCAUAUAAAUUCCUUGUGAUCUGGUCUUU